AACGACCUGCAACUUGGUUUUCGUACAUUUCCUUCUCUACUUCACAAUAGGUCGGAAGGUCCUUGGUGCUUUGUCUUUAAUGUUUCUUAAGGUUAAUGUAUGUCAUUUUUAACUACAGCCCUGUUACUUGUCCCAGUUGUUAAGGUGUAUGGAGGGGAUUAAAAGUGCAAAUGAUGGGAUAAUAUAACUUUUUCGUUUUAACUAUUCGUGACGAAAAUUCAACUCUUCA
Tripterygium wilfordii is the source of this 229-nucleotide long non-coding RNA. RefSeq lists it as uncharacterized. The record is from RefSeq and is a predicted model, not a curated record. NCBI's taxonomy places the organism in Eukaryota, Viridiplantae, Streptophyta, Magnoliopsida, Celastrales, Celastraceae. The transcript is spliced from 2 exons.